RNAcentral lists this ribosomal RNA (324 nucleotides) under Penicillium sp. RNAcentral describes it as "partial large subunit ribosomal RNA". It matches the Rfam family "Eukaryotic large subunit ribosomal RNA", at positions 329 to 671 of the family's 3401-position model. The record is from RNAcentral. Lineage: Eukaryota; Fungi; Ascomycota; Eurotiomycetes; Eurotiales; Aspergillaceae.
CGAGACCGAUAGCGAACAAGUAGAGUGAUCGAAAGAUGAAAAGCACUUUGAAAAGAGAGUUAAAAAGCACGUGAAAUUGUUGAAAGGGAAGCGCUUGCGACCAGACUCGCCUACGGGGUUCAGCCGGUAUUCGUACCGGUGUACUUCCCCGUGGGCGGGCCAGCGUCGGUUUGGGCGGCCGGUCAAAGGCCCUCGGAAUGUAACGCCUCUCGGGGCGUCUUAUAGCCGAGGGUGCCAUGCGGCCAGCCCGGACCGAGGAACGCGCUUCGGCACGGACGCUGGCAUAAUGGUCGUAAGCGACCCGUCUUGAAACACGGACCAAGA